This is a long non-coding RNA of Haliotis rubra (blacklip abalone), 166 nucleotides long. RefSeq lists it as uncharacterized. NCBI's taxonomy places the organism in Eukaryota, Metazoa, Mollusca, Gastropoda, Lepetellida, Haliotidae. The transcript has 2 exons. The record is from RefSeq and is a predicted model, not a curated record.
GACCCACUGUCCGUCUUGUCUCUCAGCGGGUCAGGAACACAACCCCAGGUGUCCCAGGUGAUAAUUGGGUGAACACCGACACGGGGUGUCUUUCUAAUAUCAUCAGACGCUCUACUGACUCAACGCACUCAGUGAUGUAAUUCCUGAAUAAACACGAUUUACAGGA